GACGAACGCUGGCGGCGUGCCUAAUACAUGCAAGUCGAACGAGAGCGACCGGUGCUUGCACUGGUCAAUCUAGUGGCGAACGGGUGAGUAACACGUGGGUAACCUGCCCAUCAGAGGGGGAUAACAUCCGGAAACGGAUGCUAACACCGCAUAGGUCUUCGAACCGCAUGGUUUGAAGAGGAAAAGAGGCGCAAGCUUCUGCUGAUGGAUGGACCCGCGGUGCAUUAGCUAGUUGGUGAGGUAACGGCUCACCAAGGCCGUGAUGCAUAGCCGACCGGAGAGGGGGAUCGGCCACAUUGGGACUGAGACACGGCCCAAACGCCUACGGGAGGCAGCAGUAGGGAAUCUUCCGCAAUGGACGCAAGUCUGACGGAGCAACGCCGCGUGAGUGAAGAAGGUGUUCGGAUCGUAAAACUCUGUUGUUAGAGAAGAACAAGUGCUAGAGUAACUGUUAGCGCCUUGACGGUAUCUAACCAGAAAGCCACGGCUAACUACGUG
Molecule: ribosomal RNA, 498 nt
Filed under: uncultured bacterium
Lineage: Bacteria
Description: partial 16S ribosomal RNA
Rfam family: Bacterial small subunit ribosomal RNA
Source: RNAcentral